RNAcentral lists this ribosomal RNA (255 nucleotides) under uncultured bacterium. RNAcentral describes it as "partial 16S ribosomal RNA". It matches the Rfam family "Bacterial small subunit ribosomal RNA", at positions 524 to 776 of the family's 1533-position model. The record is from RNAcentral.
UACAUGGGGUGCAAACGUUGCUCGGAAUUAUUGGGCGUAAAGCGCACGUAGGCGGUUCGUUAAGUCGGAUGUGAAAGCCCUCGGCUCAACUGAGGAAGUGCACCCGAAACUGGCGAGCUUGAGUACGAAAGAGGAUCGCGGAAUUCCCGGUGUAGAGGUGAAAUUCGUAGAUAUCGGGGAGGAACACCGGGUGGCGAAGGCGGCGAUCUGGGUCGAUACUGACGCUGAGGUGCGAAAGCGUGGGGAGCGAACAGG